Molecule: ribosomal RNA, 521 nt
Filed under: Bacillus sp. PSu3_39
Lineage: Bacteria; Bacillati; Bacillota; Bacilli; Caryophanales; Bacillaceae
Description: bacterial SSU rRNA
Rfam family: Bacterial small subunit ribosomal RNA
Source: RNAcentral
UGCAAGUCGAGCGGACCGACGGGAGCUUGCUCCCUUAGGUCAGCGGCGGACGGGUGAGUAACACGUGGGUAACCUGCCUGUAAGACUGGGAUCACUCCGGGAAACCGGGGCUAAUACCGGAUGCUUGAUUGAACCGCAUGGUUCAAUCAUGAAAGGCGGCUUCGGCUGCCGUUUACAGAUGGACCCGCGGCGCAUUAGCUAGUUGGUGAGGUAACGGCUCACCAAGGCGACGAUGCGUAGCCGACCUGAGAGGGUGAUCGGCCACACUGGGACUGAGACACGGCCCAGACUCCUACGGGAGGCAGCAGUAGGGAAUCUUCCGCAAUGGACGAAAGUCUGACGGAGCAACGCCGCGUGAGUGAUGAAGGUUUUCGGAUCGUAAAGCUCUGUUGUUAGGGAAGAACAAGUACCGUUCGAAUAGGGCGGUACCUUGACGGUACCUAACCAGAAAGCCACGGCUAACUACGUGCCAGCAGCCGCGGUAAUACGUAGGUGGCAAGCGUUGUCCGGAAUUAUUGGGC